UACAGAGGUCUCAAGCGUUGUUCGGAUUCAUUGGGCGUAAAGGGUGCGUAGGUGGCGCGCUAAGUCAGGUGUGAAAUUUCGGAGCUUAACUCCGAAACUGCAUUUGAUACUGGCGUGCUUGAGGACUGGAGAGGAGACUGGAAUUCAUGGUGUAGCAGUGAAAUGCGUAGAGAUCGGGAGGAACACCGGUGGCGAAGGCGGGUCUCUGGGCAAUUCCUGACGCUGAGGCGCGAAAGCGUGGGGAGCAAACGGG
RNAcentral lists this ribosomal RNA (253 nucleotides) under uncultured bacterium. RNAcentral describes it as "partial 16S ribosomal RNA". It matches the Rfam family "Bacterial small subunit ribosomal RNA", at positions 524 to 776 of the family's 1533-position model. The record is from RNAcentral.